AUGAACGCUGGCGGCGUGCCUAAUACAUGCAAGUCGAGCGAACAGACGAGGAGCUUGCUCCUUCGACGUUAGCGGCGGACGGGUGAGAAACACGUAGGUAACCUACCUAUAAGACUGGGAUAACUUCGGGAAACCGGAGCUAAUACCGGAUAAUAUUUCGAACCGCAUGGUUCGAUAGUGAAAGAUGGCUUUGCUAUCACUUAUAGAUGGACCUGCGCCGUAUUAGCUAGUUGGUAAGGUAACGGCUUACCAAGGCAACGAUACGUAGCCGACCUGAGAGGGUGAUCGGCCACACUGGAACUGAGACACGGUCCAGACUCCUACGGGAGGCAGCAGUAGGGAAUCUUCCGCAAUGGGCGAAAGCCUGACGGAGCAACGCCGCGUGAGUGAUGAAGGUCUUCGGAUCGUAAAACUCUGUUAUUAGGGAAGAACAAACGUGUAAGUAACUGUGCACGUCUUGACGGUACCUAAUCAGAAAGCCACGGCUAACUACGUG
Molecule: ribosomal RNA, 496 nt
Filed under: uncultured bacterium
Lineage: Bacteria
Description: partial 16S ribosomal RNA
Rfam family: Bacterial small subunit ribosomal RNA
Source: RNAcentral